CCUACGGGCGGCUGCAGUGGGGAAUAUUGGACAAUGGGCGCAAGCCUGAUCCAGCAAUGCCGCGUGUGUGAAGAAGGCCUGCGGGUUGUAAAGCACUUUCGGUUGGGAAGAAAUUUUCUCGGCUAACACCUGAGAAAUUUGACACUACCUUCAGAAGAAGCACCGGCUAACUCCGUGCCAGCAGCCGCGGUAAUACGGAGGGUGCAAGCGUUAAUCGGAAUUACUGGGCGUAAAGCGCGCGUAGGUGGCUGCGUAAGUCGGAUGUGAAAGCCCCG
RNAcentral lists this ribosomal RNA (275 nucleotides) under uncultured bacterium. RNAcentral describes it as "partial 16S ribosomal RNA". It matches the Rfam family "Bacterial small subunit ribosomal RNA", at positions 338 to 605 of the family's 1533-position model. The record is from RNAcentral.